This 467-nucleotide ribosomal RNA is filed under the name uncultured bacterium. RNAcentral describes it as "partial 16S ribosomal RNA". It matches the Rfam family "Bacterial small subunit ribosomal RNA", at positions 28 to 523 of the family's 1533-position model. The record is from RNAcentral.
GACGAACGCUGGCGGCGUGCUUAACACAUGCAAGUCGAGCGGGAAACUUCGGUUUCCAGCGGCGGACGGGUGAGUAACACGUGGGCAACCUGCCUCACAAUGAGGGAUAGCCUUCCGAAAGGAAGAUUAAUACCUCAUAACACAAGAGAAACGCAUGUUUCUCUUGCCAAAGAAUUUCGUUGUGAGAUGGGCCCGCGGCGCAUUAGCUUGUUGGUGAGGUAACGGCUCACCAAGGCUUCGAUGCGUAGCCGACCUGAGAGGGUGAUCGGCCACAUUGGAACUGAGACACGGUCCAGACUCCUACGGGAGGCAGCAGUGGGGAAUAUUGCACAAUGGAGGAAACUCUGAUACAGCAACGCCGCGUGAGUGAUGAAGGUCUUCGGAUUGUAAAGCUCUGUCUUCUGGGACGAUAAUGACGGUACCAGAGGAGGAAGCCACGGCUAACUACGUGCCAGCAGCCGCGGUAA